GUUGUCCAAGAAAGGAAUUUCAGUUCAACAUUAAACAAUACUAAAAACCACAUUAAGUUUCAACGUAUGUUUAACUGUUAGUCUAAAAAGGUACAGCUUUUUAGAAACGGAUACAACCUUUACUAGAGAGUAACAUAAAACUUAAACCAUAGUUGGCCUAAAAGCAGCCACCAAUUAAGAAAGCGUUCAAGCUCAACAACAAAAACAAGUUUUAAUUUCAACAAUAAAUAAAACAACUCCUAGCCUGACUAUUGGACUAAUCUAUUCAACUAUAGAAGAAAUACUGUUAAUAUGAGUAACAAGAAAAAUUUUCUCCUCGCACAAGCCUAUAUCAGUAACUGAUAGUAUGCUGAUAGUUAACAACCAAUAAAUAUAACCCAACACUAAAUUAUUUAUUAAUCAUACUGUUAACCCAACACAGGUGUGCACUAAGGAAAGAUUAAAAGGAGUAAAAGGAACUCGGCAAACACAAACCCCGCCUGUUUACCAAAAACAUCACCUCUAGCAUAACUAGUAUUAGAGGCACUGCCUGCCCAGUGACAAUCGUUAAACGGCCGCGGUAUCUUG
Molecule: ribosomal RNA, 567 nt
Filed under: Orcinus orca (killer whale)
Lineage: Eukaryota; Metazoa; Chordata; Mammalia; Artiodactyla; Delphinidae
Description: partial 16S ribosomal RNA
Source: RNAcentral